Molecule: non-coding RNA, 76 nt
Organism: Caerostris darwini
Lineage: Eukaryota; Metazoa; Arthropoda; Arachnida; Araneae; Araneidae
Source: the annotation of a GenBank genome assembly
GGCCUGAUGGCCGAGUGGCACAGGUAUCGGUUUCAAACAUGGAUGUUUGUAGUGGUUCGGAAUCCACUUUAAACCU